UCCCUGGUGAUUGAGUGGCUAAGAUUCUGAGCUCCCAAUGCAGGGGACCCAGGUUUGACUCCUGGUCAGGGAA
Molecule: transfer RNA, 73 nt
Filed under: Ovis aries (sheep)
Lineage: Eukaryota; Metazoa; Chordata; Mammalia; Artiodactyla; Bovidae
Rfam family: tRNA
About the family: Transfer RNA (tRNA) molecules are approximately 80 nucleotides in length. Their secondary structure includes four short double-helical elements and three loops (D, anti-codon, and T loops).
Source: Rfam by way of RNAcentral